CAACGAUCGAAGCAGCUACAGCGAGUUCACCAGUUUGUUUCAGUUUCAACUAUGGUUCUGAAAGUCAGUUUUCUUCUUCUCCUUAUCGUCUGUGCUAUCAUUCCCCCAUCAUCCUCUGCGCUAUCAGGCAACUUGUCCAAACGUGAUGAUUUGAUAAUUAGCUGAACUUCUAAGUUUAAAAAGCCUUGCACCACUAGCGAAGACUGCAUCUAUGCAGGGUCCUUGACGUAAUGGACCUUGGGAUGUUUUGAGGAAUGCCACAAUGGUCUAUUUCGAUGUCUGCAAUAUCAUCACCAUAAUACGAAAUAAGUGAUCGCUGAAUACCGGAAAAAAACCGUAAUGGAGUGCAGAUUUAUAUAUACAAAUUGAUUUUUCAGAUCCUUUGUUUAUUCGUUUACCA
This is a long non-coding RNA of Exaiptasia diaphana, 400 nucleotides long. RefSeq lists it as uncharacterized. The record is from RefSeq and is a predicted model, not a curated record. NCBI's taxonomy places the organism in Eukaryota, Metazoa, Cnidaria, Anthozoa, Actiniaria, Aiptasiidae. The transcript is spliced from 3 exons.